Pimephales promelas (fathead minnow) is the source of this 582-nucleotide non-coding RNA. NCBI's taxonomy places the organism in Eukaryota, Metazoa, Chordata, Actinopteri, Cypriniformes, Leuciscidae. The record is from RefSeq and is a predicted model, not a curated record.
CCAGGUUUACAGCUGAAUAUUCAACGACAAUAAUGUUAUUUGAUAUAAUCAAUAGGCUACUGCUUUCAUAUUCUAUUUACAAAGCACUUUCAGGACAUCUUUAUUGUAUGUAUGUAUAUAUUUACGUGCUGCAUGAUUUUGACGUGGUUAAUCAUUAAUGCCGUGCACGUGAACUUUCGAGUCUCUCAAACACUGGAGCGGCCGGCGCGCAGAGUUGCCAUGGAAACGGCGCGGGACCACUGCUACUGGUAAACAACAAAACUCCCUCUCUCGCUGUUGUUUCAACUUUUCACGGCUUUUUUCAGUAGUAACGAAAUAACCCAUAACAGAGAGAAAGCUCCACUACUUCAACAUUUCUGAAGAAAGCUGCUGCCGGAGAAGUAACGUUAGGACACAGAUGACUGUGGUGAAGAUGGAUGAAGAUGGAUGAGGCUUUCAAGUGCAGGAUCUACAAUUGUUUUCGUUUCACCUUUUGUUUUGCCUGUUUUGAAUGUGAUGCACAGCCUAGGCCUAUAUAAUUGUGUUUUUUUGUCUGUUUUUAAUCAACAAUUAAACAAUGAAUCGACAAAAACAUGGACUGUA